GAUGAACGCUGGCGGCGUGCCUAAUACAUGCCAGUCGAACGAAACUUCUUUAUCACCGAGUGCUUGCACUCACCGAUAAAGAGUUGAGUGGCGAACGGGUGAGUAACACGUGGGCAACCUGCCCAAAAGAGGGGGAUAACACUUGGAAACAGGUGCUAAUACCGCAUAACCAUAGUUACCGCAUGGUAACUAUGUAAAAGGUGGCUAUACUACCGCUUUUGGAUGGGCCCGCGGCGCAUUAGCUAGUUGGUAGGGUAAAGGCUUACCAAGGCAAUGAUGCUGAGCCGAAUUCGGAGGUUGAUCGGCCACAUUGGGACUGAGACACGGCCCAAACUCCUACGGGAGGCAGCAGUAGGGAAUCUUCCACAAUGGGCGAAAGCCUGAUGGAGCAACGCCGCGUGGGUGAAGAAGGUCUUCGGAUCGUAAAACCCUGUUGUUAGAGAAGAAAGUGCGUGAGAGUAACUGUUCACGUUUCGACGGUAUCUAACCGGAAAGCCACGGCUAACUACGUG
This 512-nucleotide ribosomal RNA is filed under the name uncultured bacterium. RNAcentral describes it as "partial 16S ribosomal RNA". It matches the Rfam family "Bacterial small subunit ribosomal RNA", at positions 28 to 507 of the family's 1533-position model. The record is from RNAcentral.